Molecule: ribosomal RNA, 253 nt
Filed under: uncultured bacterium
Lineage: Bacteria
Description: partial 16S ribosomal RNA
Rfam family: Bacterial small subunit ribosomal RNA
Source: RNAcentral
GACGGGGGAUGCAAGCGUUGUCCGGAAUCACUGGGCGUAAAGCGUCUGUAGGUGGUGAUGCAAGUCACUGGUGCAAAACUCUGGCUCAACCGGAGAAAAGACAGUGAAACUGCAUGACUAGAGUGUGGGAGAGGUAGAAGGAAUUCCCUGAGUAGCGGUGAAAUGCGUAGAUACAGGGAAGAACACCGGAGGCGAAAGCGUUCUACUGGAACACAACUGACACUGAGAGACGAAAGCUAGGGGACCGAAUGGG